This 83-nucleotide transfer RNA is filed under the name Sphingomonas aquatilis. RNAcentral describes it as "tRNA-Leu". The record is from RNAcentral. Lineage: Bacteria; Pseudomonadati; Pseudomonadota; Alphaproteobacteria; Sphingomonadales; Sphingomonadaceae.
GCGGAACGGUCGGGAACUGAGAAACCAUAGACUUAAAAUCGGCUUCCUAUGGAGUGCGGGUUCGAGUCCCGCCGUCCGCACCA